RNAcentral lists this microRNA precursor (104 nucleotides) under Marmota monax (woodchuck). Lineage: Eukaryota; Metazoa; Chordata; Mammalia; Rodentia; Sciuridae. The record is from RNAcentral.
GAACCAGCCACCCCGGGCUCUGGUUGGAAUGCAGAUUCUGAUUCAGUAUGCCUGGGGUUGGGCCAAGAGUCUCCAUUUCUAAUGAGCUCCCUGAUGAUUCUAGU